AUUGAACGCUGGCGGCAGGCUUAACACAUGCAAGUCGAGCGGGGGAAGGUAGCUUGCUACCGGACCUAGCGGCGGACGGGUGAGUAAUGCUUAGGAAUCUGCCUAUUAGUGGGGGACAACAUCUCGAAAGGGAUGCUAAUACCGCAUACGUCCUACGGGAGAAAGCAGGGGAUCUUCGGACCUUGCGCUAAUAGAUGAGCCUAAGUCGGAUGAGAUAGUUGGUGGGGUAAAGGCCUACCAAGGCGACGAUCCGUAGCGGGUCUGAGAGGAUGAGCCGCCACACUAGGAAUGAGGCACGGCCCAGACUCCUACGGGAGGCAGCAGUGGGGAAUAUUGGACAAUGGGGGGAACCCUGAUCCAGCCAUGCCGCGUGUGUGAAGAAGGCCUUAUGGUUGUAAAGCACUUUAAGCGAGGAGGAGGCUACUCUAGUUAAUACCUAGGGAUAGUGGACGUUACUCGCAGAAUAAGCACCGGCUAACUCUGUGCCAGCCGCCGCCGUAA
RNAcentral lists this ribosomal RNA (501 nucleotides) under uncultured bacterium. Its description in RNAcentral is "partial 16S ribosomal RNA". It matches the Rfam family "Bacterial small subunit ribosomal RNA", at positions 30 to 523 of the family's 1533-position model. The record is from RNAcentral.